GACGAACGCUGGCGGCGUGCCUAAUACAUGCAAGUAGAACGCUGAAGGAGGAGCUUGCUUCUCCGGAUGAGUUGCGAACGGGUGAGUAACGCGUAGGUAACCUGCCUGGUAGCGGGGGAUAACUAUUGGAAACGAUAGCUAAUACCGCAUAAGAGUAGAUGUUGCAUGACAUUUGCUUAAAAGGUGCAAUUGCAUCACUACCAGAUGGACCUGCGUUGUAUUAGCUAGUUGGUGGGGUAACGGCUCACCAAGGCGACGAUACAUAGCCGACCUGAGAGGGUGAUCGGCCACACUGGGACUGAGACACGGCCCAGACUCCUACGGGAGGCAGCAGUAGGGAAUCUUCGGCAAUGGACGGAAGUCUGACCGAGCAACGCCGCGUGAGUGAAGAAGGUUUUCGGAUCGUAAAGCUCUGUUGUAAGAGAAGAACGAGUGUGAGAGUGGAAAGUUCACACUGUGACGGUAUCUACCAGAA
Molecule: ribosomal RNA, 475 nt
Filed under: Streptococcus mitis
Lineage: Bacteria; Bacillati; Bacillota; Bacilli; Lactobacillales; Streptococcaceae
Description: bacterial SSU rRNA
Rfam family: Bacterial small subunit ribosomal RNA
Source: RNAcentral